UUCAUUUAUUCAUCAAGCAAGAAAUCAAGCUUUCAUCCUUCAAUGCAUUCUCUCCUCUCUACCAACGAAUUUAUUUGUAGUAUUUAGUUUCCUUUACUUUCAAUUCCUUUCCAGCUUGUUACCUCUUAGACCAUUUACAAUUCCUUUUUCAAACUUUCUUUUCACUCCCAGUAGCUAACCUACUUUAAUACAUCACCAAAAUUCCAGCCGCUCAUACUCAAUCACGCCACCCAUCUUUUUCACCCAUUUUUACCUUAUUUAAUUUAUCCAAUACCAACAUGCCCCAAACUUUAGCCAACUAAAUCUAUUUUCAACUUUAGGUCGGAAUUAGUCUUGUCAAGACCCGUGAGUUACGAACCGAGUAAAUUAACUCCUAAAUUUCAAUACUUAUUAUUUCUCCGGAUUAAGAGUAUGAUUUUGUCAACUCACAAAGUCAGAUCAACAUUAAGUCAAAAAAGUCUUGAUUUAGUGUGGUUAGACGUACAGUUGGAAUUCUGAAAGGAUCGAUUCUAAUCGGUUUUCUGUGAACACAUUGGUGUGCCAAGUGGAGAUUGCUAUUUGGUUCCGUCAAGGGAAGUAGUAACCGGAUUUAAAUGUCCCACAGGGUUGAGGACAUUGGUUCGAGCUAGGCUCUUCUAGAACGCAAAGCUGCCGGAGUUCUAAAUCACGAACAUUUCGUGGUUGUUCGAUCGGUAAGGGUUAGUUAUUGGACGUUCCAUAACUAAUUUACACAAGGAAGAGUUGGUGUCCGAGGCGUCCUUGGUAGCUAUAACUAGCUUAUUGGAAAAGAGGAGUUCAUCUAAUUUCGAGGAUCGGUUUAAAGAUGAGGAAAAAUUCGUGCCUAAAGUUGAGCUUAUUCUAAUUAAUUUUUCUUCAAAUUUAUUUAACUGUUUUUUAUUAUUUCAUUUUCGACUUUUACUUUUUACGCGUUUUAUUUAUUUAUUUCAAGUUCCAGGUUUUCAAUUUUAUCCUCCCCCCUAAUAUCUUGGGCACGACAACUGCCCCGACAUAAAUCUGGUCAAGAGAGCAACAAUUUGCAGUAAACCCAGUCUCUGAGGGAUUGACUCUACUCCCUAUACUGCUUAAAUUGCAAAUUAGGCGUAAGUUUAUAUUGGUGGACUCGACUCCCAUCACACACGCAAGUUUAGUAGAUCUUGAAGCCUCGAGAAGUGAUUCAGCAUCCAAUUAACAACCCUUAACUCAACAAUGUUUGUAUAGUUCUUUUACGUUUUAAAGUAUGACAUGCACCUAAGGAUUGAAUCAGUUUUGUAGUGUGAAGGUCAUUUGGUAAUCUUGAAUAGGUAAUGGAAGUUUGAGUUUAAUGUAUAUGAAUUGUUAGAUACAUAUGUGGGAUUGAUAUAAGUGUUGAAAUGGCUUAAAUAUUUGCAAUAGAACAUAUGUUGAAUUGGUUUUAAGUUGAAUUGUCAAAUAGGUGAUUUGGAUGGAAAUGUUGUUGAAAUGACAUUAUAUGAAAAUUUUGAAAGUAUAUUGUUAAAAUGGUGGAAAUAGGUAAUGGUUAAUUGUGCAAGUUGUUGUGGUUUGGCAUUUAAUGAUGUUUUGAAAAUAGUGG
Molecule: long non-coding RNA, 1570 nt
Filed under: Gossypium barbadense (sea-island cotton)
Lineage: Eukaryota; Viridiplantae; Streptophyta; Magnoliopsida; Malvales; Malvaceae
Description: long non-coding RNA (GBAR_LNC018769)
Source: RNAcentral